UUUCACUUUAGUACCCUAUGGUUUAAAGUGUAUCAAGUUAGGCCCUAUGGUUUCGCACUUUCUCACUUUAGUACUCUGUGGUUUAAAGUGAAUCAAGUUGGUACCCUAUGGUUUCAUUUUUUUCUUUUUAUUAUCCAUUUCACUAAUUUUUUUCGUUAAAUAACAAAAUUAAAAUUAAAGGAUACUAAAGUGAAUAUUCGAUAAACCUAGAUAGGGUAUCUGAAGUAUUUUGUAUAUAAUUUAACGAAAAUAUUAACGGAAGAAAAAAAAAUCAAUGACAAAAUUAAAACUAGAGGGUAUUAAAGUAAUAUUCGAUAAACCCAGGCAAGGUAUUUGAAAUUUUUUGUAUAUAAUUUAACGAAAUAUUAAUAGAGAAGCCGACGAAAAGAGAAAAUGAAACCACGGGGUACUAAAUUGAUGCAGUUUAAACCACAGGGUACUAAAGUGAGAAAGUGCGAAACCACGAGGCACUAAAUUGAUACACUUUAAACCACAGGGUACUAAAGUAAAAAGUGUGAACCACAUGGGUGAUAUUUGAAGUUUUUUUUAUUUGAAUUAUUAUAUUUAG
Molecule: long non-coding RNA, 568 nt
Filed under: Ananas comosus (pineapple)
Lineage: Eukaryota; Viridiplantae; Streptophyta; Magnoliopsida; Poales; Bromeliaceae
Description: long non-coding RNA (ACOM_LNC022011)
Source: RNAcentral